UCGUUGUCAGUGCACUCCUUAGUGCCCUGGGAGAAGUAGCAGCACCACCAGCUCAGCAACACAGGAGAAGUACCCAGAGGAUGUGAGAAUACCCAGUGGAAAUAAGUUUACCGAUACUUCAUGGCUCUAGGAGUAUGGUAAAAACUAAUGCAGCACAAAGGAACCCUGUCAACCCUAUUACAGAGGAAAGGACUGGAAUUUGCAAGAGGAAAAAGGGUAACUUCAGAAAGGGAAUGGCGUGCGGGGUCUCCUGCGACUAAGGUUCCAAUCAGGAGGACUAUGAAUAUUCACCAAUACCACAGCAGGAUGAUCCUACAUUCACGGAGGAGGAGGAGGAUGUCUAUGGGGAAACUAACUCCUAUAUCAGCCUCCUAGAAAGUGACAUACCAUGUUAUGGGGUAUGAACCCCAGCAAACACAUCCUCCUCAACACUGGCAGUACAUGCACUCUCCGCAACAGCUGCACCCACCACAACAGCUGCACUCACUGCAACAGCUGCACUCUCCAAAACAGCUGCACCCACCGCAACAGAUGAUGCGCCCACCACAGCAGCAUACAGAUCUGCAUCAUCUAUACUAUAUGCCUCCCACUCCUAUGGCACACCAGGAAUCUACACCACCACGACCCACUGCACCCACCAAUGUUUUUCAAACAAUGCCAUCACAGACAACCUCCCAGUCAACAAUACAGAGAGACAGCCCUGGAACCAGCCAACAAUUUGUUCCUGAGACACCAGGUCUACAACAGGGUCCAGCACAGUCACAUCAGGAUGAUAUACAGAAGAUGAUAUAUAGAGACCUUAGGCUGUCCAGGCUCCAGCAGCAGCAGGCUUUCCACAGAAUCCAGAGCCAAAUGAACAUUCAUAAUGCCUUACUUGUCCACCUGGUAGAGGCAGUGGAGAGGCUCGCGGAUAGGCCGCAAACUCCAUCCUCGCUUACAUCCUCCGUUAUCUCCCUGCAGGACCCUGAAUCACAUCUGUUAGCCUCACAUUUAGCUGGUGGGAGGCACACAAGACGCCACACUUCCCCCCCAAAGUACCUCUCCUCCAAAGUCCAAAUACCGCUGCAAGAAUUAAUUAAUAUUCCCCCCAAGAUAUAUAAUAUCUAAUUUUUUGCAAUAAAGCACUUUAAGUGCGAUUUCCAUCUCAUAAAUAUGCAUAUAUUUUUUUAAUACAAAUUUAAAAAUAUAUUACAAAAUUAUUCUAAUAGCUGUUGAUUAGCAAAAUAUUAACAGCUUUAUUCAUUUUUAUUUCACAUGAUGUCAAUUAAUAUGCAGGUGUACAUUGUUAAUAAAUGUAUGUAUUUCUAUAAAGAAUAUUAUGCCAUUUAAGAAUACUUGAGGAUAAGUGUUUGAAAUAAAUACAGUAUAUGCUAUCUAACA
Bombina bombina (fire-bellied toad) is the source of this 1380-nucleotide RNA transcript. It is a transcript of the gene named PAX-interacting protein 1-like, with no coding region annotated. The transcript is spliced from 4 exons. The record is from RefSeq and is a predicted model, not a curated record. NCBI's taxonomy places the organism in Eukaryota, Metazoa, Chordata, Amphibia, Anura, Bombinatoridae.